This 1050-nucleotide ribosomal RNA is filed under the name Lactobacillus helveticus. RNAcentral's name for it is "bacterial SSU rRNA". It matches the Rfam family "Bacterial small subunit ribosomal RNA", at positions 457 to 1504 of the family's 1533-position model. The record is from RNAcentral. Lineage: Bacteria; Bacillati; Bacillota; Bacilli; Lactobacillales; Lactobacillaceae.
CUGGCCCUUUAUUUGACGGUAAUCAACCCAGAAAAGUCACGGCUAACUACGUGCCCAGCAGCCGCGGUAAUACGUAGGUGGCAAGCGUUGUCCGGAUUUAUUGGGCGUAAAGCGAGCGCAGGCGGAAGAAUAAGUCUGAUGUGAAAGCCCUCGGCUUAACCGAGGAACUGCAUCGGAAACUGUUUUUCUUGAGUGCAGAAGAGGAGAGUGGAACUCCAUGUGUAGCGGUGGAAUGCGUAGAUAUAUGGAAGAACACCAGUGGCGAAGGCGACUCUCUGGUCUGCAACUGACGCUGAGGCUCGAAAGCAUGGGUAGCGAACAGGAUUAGAUACCCUGGUAGUCCAUGCCGUAAACGAUGAGUGCUAAGUGUUGGGAGGUUUCCGCCUCUCAGUGCUGCAGCUAACGCAUUAAGCACUCCGCCUGGGGAGUACGACCGCAAGGUUGAAACUCAAAGGAAUUGACGGGGGCCCGCACAAGCGGUGGAGCAUGUGGUUUAAUUCGAAGCAACGCGAAGAACCUUACCAGGUCUUGACAUCUAGUGCCAUCCUAAGAGAUUAGGAGUUCCCUUCGGGGACGCUAAGACAGGUGGUGCAUGGCUGUCGUCAGCUCGUGUCGUGAGAUGUUGGGUUAAGUCCCGCAACGAGCGCAACCCUUGUUAUUAGUUGCCAGCAUUAAGUUGGGCACUCUAAUGAGACUGCCGGUGAUAAACCGGAGGAAGGUGGGGAUGACGUCAAGUCAUCAUGCCCCUUAUGACCUGGGCUACACACGUGCUACAAUGGACAGUACAACGAGAAGCGAGCCUGCGAAGGCAAGCGAAUCUCUGAAAGCUGUUCUCAGUUCGGACUGCAGUCUGCAACUCGACUGCACGAAGCUGGAAUCGCUAGUAAUCGCGGAUCAGAACGCCGCGGUGAAUACGUUCCCGGGCCUUGUACACACCGCCCGUCACACCAUGGAAGUCUGCAAUGCCCAAAGCCGGUGGCCUAACCUUCGGGAAGGAGCCGUCUAAGGCAGGGCAGAUGACUGGGGUGAAGUCGAACCAAGGAGUUGAGG